UCCUGGCUCAGAUUGAACGCUGGCGGCAGGCCUAACACAUGCAAGUCGAAUGGUAACAGGAACAGCUUGCUGUUUCGCUGACGAGUGGCGGACGGGUGAGUAAUGUCUGGGAAACUGCCUGAUGGAGGGGGAUAACUACUGGAAACGGUAGCUAAUACCGCAUAACGUCGCAAGACCAAAGAGGGGGGACCUUCGGGCCUCUUGCCAUCAGAUGUGCCCAGAUGGGAUUAGCUAGUAGGUGGGGUAACGGCUCACCUAGGCGACGGUCCCUAGCUGGUCUGAGAGGAUGACCAGCCACACUGGAACUGAGACACGGUCCAGACUCCUACGGGAGGCAGCAGUGGGGAAUAUUGCACAAUGGGCGCAAGCCUGAUGCAGCCAUGCCGCGUGUAUGAAGAAGGCCUUCGGGUUGUAAAGUACUUUCAGCGGGGAGGAAGGGAGUAAAGUUAAUACCUUUGCUCAUUGACGUUACCCGCAGAAGAAGCACCGGCUAACUCCGUG
RNAcentral lists this ribosomal RNA (501 nucleotides) under uncultured bacterium. Its description in RNAcentral is "bacterial SSU rRNA". It matches the Rfam family "Bacterial small subunit ribosomal RNA", at positions 17 to 507 of the family's 1533-position model. The record is from RNAcentral.